The sequence is a transfer RNA, 69 nucleotides long. It matches the Rfam family "tRNA". From Rfam's summary of the family: Transfer RNA (tRNA) molecules are approximately 80 nucleotides in length.
GUGGGCAUAGUUUAACAAAAACACUAGACCGUGACUCUAAAAACAGGGGUUAAACCCCCCUUGCUCUCC